This 941-nucleotide unclassified non-coding RNA is filed under the name Leishmania donovani. RNAcentral's name for it is "gene:unknown". Lineage: Eukaryota; Euglenozoa; Kinetoplastea; Trypanosomatida; Trypanosomatidae. The record is from RNAcentral.
UAAGUGUGAGAUCAGCCCUCCCCCACCCCGACUGCACAGAAACAAACAAAAGACGUUCGCGUUGGCGGGGUGGUGGUGGCCAGCGUGCUGACUCAUCCGUUUCCCAUUUCGCGGGCCACGCGCAUCUAUCGACUUUCAUUCUUGCCAGGUUCCCCCCAACUUCAGUCUCGACGUUUGCCGUGCAUUUGUGUGAUUGCCUCUCUUUCCUUCUCGCUGCAAAACGUGUCUGGGCCUCUUGCAGAGGGGUCUUACCUAUUUCUCUCGUGUGGUUUGCGGCCGCGACGUACGGGUAUAUGGGCGUGCGUGUUAGCCCUUUCCCCCUCCCUCUUAUGUUGGGGAAGAUGUCAACUCGUUUUACUACCUCGUCUGUGAUUUCAAGCCAGACCCACCUCGACCAAUCCCCAUCAUGUCUGCCACCGCGUGAGAGACAUGAUGAAUAAGGAAGGGCAGCACUCUGCAAUUUCGUUGAAGUCGUCACAAGGGCAGGCAGCGAUUCCGUGAGAGCAGAGCAGAGAGGCCCGUUCCCCCCAUCUCAGACUCGAACAAUGGGACGGAGUCCUUCAGCUCAACAACUGCCUUCUCUUUCCCCUCAACCCUCUUCCUGAUCUCACACUCGUGAGAUCACGAGGGCACUUCGUAUGUGAUCAUGCUUGUGUGGGUGCCCGUGUGUCCGCGUGCGGGAAGCGCACUCUUUUCCUUCCCUUCGUGUGUGUGUCUUCUCUUUUUCUUCCCCCCUUUGACACUAUUUCGUUUCCUUGACCGUGCCGUAUCGUGAUGGCCAUGUGCCUCUCCCUCUUUCCUUUCCCCACGGGUCUUGACGUCCUCCGCACUUCAUCGCUGUAUUUUUCAACACGUGGGGGGGGGCGAGAGGGCAGACGGGUUCGGCAGCGCCAACGGCGACGACCACGAUGGACGACUGUGAACACUGCCUAUGCACACAG